This 107-nucleotide small RNA is filed under the name Marmota monax (woodchuck). Lineage: Eukaryota; Metazoa; Chordata; Mammalia; Rodentia; Sciuridae. The record is from RNAcentral.
GCCAGGUGUGGUGGUGCACACCUCUAAUCCCAGCGACUUGGGAGGCUGAGGCUGGAGGAUCGAAAGUUUAAAGCCAGCCUGGACAGCAUAGUGAGAACCAGCCUCAG